RNAcentral lists this long non-coding RNA (931 nucleotides) under Cervus hanglu yarkandensis (Yarkand deer). Its description in RNAcentral is "lncRNA (ENSCHYG00000004028.1)". The record is from RNAcentral. Lineage: Eukaryota; Metazoa; Chordata; Mammalia; Artiodactyla; Cervidae.
AAUCAAUUAAAAACAUUUCAUGGAAAAGAAUCUAAAAAAGAGUAGAUAUACAUACAUGUAUAACUGAUUCACUUUGCUGUUCAGUAGAAACUAAUACUUUUUUUUUUUAAUUUGAGAGAACAAUUUCUUGUUAUAAUGAACCAGAAACAAAAGAUUUUACUGAAACUGAAGAGUUGACAGACUGUGGUUGAACUUAAACCUUCAGGGGGAGUAAGAAGAGGGUCAACAAAGUCGAUGAAUGGAGAAGCCCAAGAUUAGUCUUGGGUAAACAAAAGGAUAACAACACUUCAGCAAGGUUAUCUUCUGACCCUCCCACCAGAUUCUUUACUGCCUGAGCCACCAGGAAAGCCCACAGAUAUAUGUACAUGAAGAGGUUUUGCUUCUCCAGAUAAAAUUGAGAGGAAUAAAUAUUAAAGUCUUGGUCAUUUGCAGUUUCAUGUUACUAGUGAAGAAAGAAUUCAUAGGGCCUGGACUCAGUCUGAGGCCUGUCCGUGCUGAUCGUGCUCGGCUGCCUCUCCAGUGGACUCUGAACUCUGCUUAGUGCCUGUGGGAACGACAAUGGAAGGAUAAGACCCCCUCCAGACAGGGGAACCUUGAAGAUCAUAUCCAGGUUACUCAUCGCCUAAGAGAAAACAGACACUAAUCACCCCUGCCUCCGGACAGUAUCUAUCGGCAUGUAACCACAGGCUUAUCGGUUAUUAACUGGUUGGAAUGUAACCGCGGGCUUAUUGAUUAUUAACUGUUUGAACACAUAACACGUGAAUGACGGGGUUAUUGUGAUUGUAUUUACCCUUCCUUUGUAAGCCUCAAGGGAUUUGGGGUGGUGGGUUUGGACACGUACACAUGUGGUAUAAAAGAUUUCCACAAAUGCUGGUCGGGGUCCUUGGCUAAGAGGAGACUCUGCUUUGGGCCCACCGGUGUAAUAAACUGC